Echinostoma caproni is the source of this 82-nucleotide non-coding RNA. Lineage: Eukaryota; Metazoa; Platyhelminthes; Trematoda; Plagiorchiida; Echinostomatidae. The record is from Rfam.
GGCCUCGUAGCUCAGCUGGUAGAGCAUGCGCGUACAAAGCGUAGGCGGUGUCCAUGCGUGAGUUCGAAUCCCACCGAGGCUA